UAUAGCUCAGUUGGUUAGAGCGCACGCCUGAUAAGCGUGAGGUCGGUGGUUCGAGUCCACUUA
This 63-nucleotide transfer RNA is filed under the name Limosilactobacillus mucosae. RNAcentral's name for it is "Lactobacillus mucosae tRNA_Ile_GAT". It matches the Rfam family "tRNA", at positions 6 to 65 of the family's 71-position model. Rfam says of the family: Transfer RNA (tRNA) molecules are approximately 80 nucleotides in length. Their secondary structure includes four short double-helical elements and three loops (D, anti-codon, and T loops). Lineage: Bacteria; Bacillati; Bacillota; Bacilli; Lactobacillales; Lactobacillaceae. The record is from RNAcentral.